RNAcentral lists this ribosomal RNA (468 nucleotides) under uncultured bacterium. RNAcentral describes it as "partial 16S ribosomal RNA". It matches the Rfam family "Bacterial small subunit ribosomal RNA", at positions 28 to 507 of the family's 1533-position model. The record is from RNAcentral.
GACGAACGCUGGCGGCGUGCUUAACACAUGCAAGUCGAACGGAAAGGCCCUGCUUUUGUGGGGUUCUCGAUUGGCGAACGGGUGAGUGAAACGUGAGUAACCUGCACUUAUCUUACUGGUAACUUCUCGAAACUGGGGCGAAUACCGCGUAGAAGCUCCUGCUGCAUGGUGGUGGUUAGAAAGUUUCGGCGGUUGGGGCUGGACUCGCGGCUUAUCAGCUAGUUUGGGUAGUAGUGGUGUCCCAGGGCUUUGACGGGUAGCCGGCCUGAGAGGGUGACCGGCCACAUUGGGACUGAGAUACGGACCAGACGCCUACGGGAGGCAGCAGUGGGGAACAUGGCACAAUGGGCGGAAGCCUGAUGCAGAAACGUUGCGUGCGGGAUGCCGGCCUUCGGGUUGUAAACCGAUUUCGACUGUGACGAAGAGUGCGUGACGGUAAUGGGUAAAGAAGCACCGGCUAACUACGUG